UGUGAUUUAGCUAAAGAAAAAAAGGGUUAAUUGCAUGCAGGCUCCUAUAAAUAUAGUGAAUUAUAAAUUUAUUCCUACAAAAUUUAACUUUUAUAUGUUGUUCCUAUAAAAUUUCUAAUAUUCUCAAUUAUAUCCCUUCCGUUAGAAAAUUUUAAUUAACCAUAGGUUAAAACUUAACCUUGGUUAGUUUAUGAGAUAACUUAAUACUUUUACUCUUUUUAUAUUAUACUGUUGUGGCUUUUGAAAGGACAUAUUUGUGAUUGCAAAAUUAAUAUUUCACUUAUUUGUUGUUAAAAUAUAAACAGUUCUAUAACAAUAAUAAAUCAAGGAAACAUAUUUGAAAAUAUUAAAACUUUGUAGAAACAACAUAUGAAAGUUGAACUUUAUAGGAAUAUAUUUGUAAUUUACUAUAUUUGUAAGGACCUGCAUGCAUUUAACGCAAAAAAACGUCAUUUUGUGAAG
RNAcentral lists this long non-coding RNA (462 nucleotides) under Ananas comosus (pineapple). RNAcentral describes it as "long non-coding RNA (ACOM_LNC001228)". Lineage: Eukaryota; Viridiplantae; Streptophyta; Magnoliopsida; Poales; Bromeliaceae. The record is from RNAcentral.